Molecule: ribosomal RNA, 2435 nt
Filed under: Triticum aestivum (bread wheat)
Lineage: Eukaryota; Viridiplantae; Streptophyta; Magnoliopsida; Poales; Poaceae
Description: partial small subunit ribosomal RNA
Source: RNAcentral
UAAAAGGUUAAAGAAAUCGUGUAGCCUCUCCACCUAUCCUAUCCCAUCCUCCUAGAAUGGUUGUGUGGUGGACGCAGUCAAUUAGUCAAACAAACAACGAAGACGGACGGACUAACUAACUAAACCAACCUGUUCUCGUUCUGCUGUGGUGGAGUGGAGACGGAGACGCCUUGACGACGUUGGGCUAGCUUCGAGGAGGAGACGGAAGGGGUUUCGGCCUUCGACUUCGUUUAGGUUCGUCGCGGCUAGUAGGUUGAGUAGGAACCUGUAGUUGAUUAAGUCUAAGUCCUCACACACGUAGGGGGUUAAUUAAUUAGGGCCCUCUAACUUUGGAAAUAGUGGUCGUCAUCAUCAUGUAUAGAGGGAAGGAAUAAGAAUCCGUCACAUAUUGAUCAUAAAUACUGAAAGGAGAAAACAAGAUAAAAUGAGGGAGGCAGGGUUUUAAGAACAGAAUCUAAGCAGAUCUAUACCUACAUAGAUUAUGAUUUUACACUGAACUAUGUAGGCAUAAAUCUGUUUAGAUUCUAUUCUUAAAACCCUGCCUCCCUCAUAAAUAAUGACAUGAAGACAGCUAACACAAGAACCUACCCACGAUCAUUUUCUAACGUCGCUUAACUAUAAGAAAUACGCAAAGCAAAGGGCGCACGGUUUAGGAGGGGGAUGAGGAGGAGGAACCGGUCAAUGAUUUGUAAAAGGGAGUCUUUAGAGCGGCAGCGGCCGAGAAAGGAAGGAAGGAAAGCAGGAGGCCGGUGGUCUCUCUAGCGUUUGGCGGUUCAAAGGGACGGCCGGUUCUAAACUAAACUAACUCAUCAUUGGCGGCGACGACGAGCAUACGUAGGGGUCAAUUAAGGCUUAACUUAAAAUCCAUCUACAAAGCCAGCUAGCUAGUUAGGUGCCAGACUUCUUAGAGACAAAAAGAACUCGAGUCCCCGUACGGCCCUCCUUCCCCUCCUCCUCCACCUCGCCGCCACGUCCACCUGCCGUUCCUGCCCGUGCGCCGCGGCCGCUCCCGCCGCGGGUCCUCGAAGGGCCGCUUCGAGGAGUCCGGCCACGACGAGAGGCGCCACGAGCGGUGGCCGAAGGAGCGGCGCUGGGACGAGUACAAGAAGCCGCCGCGGAGGAGGAUGAUGGCGGAGGGCUCCGAGCGGCACGGCCUGCGGGACGAGGGGCGCGGUGGCCGCACGCUGGUGGUCUUCGUCCCCCUCCUCCUGGCCGUACCGCCCCGCCGCCCCGCCACCACCCCCGCCGGCGGCCGGUCCUCGCGCACCGUGUUGUACUCGCUGCUCCUCGACGAGACCCGCCGCAGCAAGCUCGGCGCGCGCGUCGCGGCCGGCGUGGCCGCGCGCUGGGGGUUCCACCGGAAGAACAAGGAGUGGGCGCCGGGCGACGGCGACCGCGGCGAGACCCUCGCGAAGAAGUUGUCGUGGCCGCGGUUCCGUCCCUCGAGAAGAGGCACAUGCACGUGUGGUGCGGCCCGAUGGCGGAGCUGAAGGGCGGCAGGAGCGGCAAGGUGGUGGCCGUCCACGGGUCGUUCGGCUGCGCCACCCCGAUGCACUUACAGCACCUGCGCCUCGCUGCCGACGACCGCUUGCGCGAGGAGCUGGAGUGGUUGCUCGCGAAGCACGAGCAGAGGUUCAGGACGUAGGGCGAGAUGGGCGAGGGCCACCACGUACGGAUGGACUGGGCGAGAGCCGUGUCGAAGCAGCCGCGGAAGCUGCUGGGCUCGGGCGUGCCGGCCCCGGCCAUGGCGCGGCCCGACCGGGGCCUACACUGAGAGAGGGUCACCGCGUUCCCGCGUGUCACCAAGCUCUACCUGGCCGCGGAGCGGCACAAACACUAACGGCUACUGGCCAUGAUGGGCGCCAAAGCCUGGUUCACGGCUCGCGGCACGAUGCACCUGCUCGUGAUGGAGGGCUGGCACGAGAGGUAGCUCCGAGGCCUCGCGUAGCGGUUGGCCUCGUAGUGGAACCAGCUGACCAGAGCGCCGCCGCGCGUGGGCCGGUGGAAGCCGCGGCGGCUGCACUGACUCCUGAAGGACCCCUACGAACACCCCUUCUUCCCCUUACGACUCUCCACGUACAUGUUGCCCGUCGGCCAGCUCCACACGAAGGAGAAACGUUCCUUCAAGCGGGGGCGGCGCUACGGUGUCGACGAGGUGGAAAGGAGCUUCUAGGAACCCAUGAUCGAUACGGAAAAUGAUUUAACUAAAACGAGACGAAUACAUAUCGAGUAUGAGUGACCUCCCCUUAUCUCCUUAUGUUAAGAAAAAAAAAGUACACAAUGUUCCUGUUUUCCUACUUACUAGCUCACCCAUCAACAAAGAAUUGCGGAAUCCAGGGGAAACCAAGUUUCCUUAAAAUAUCCUAAAUACCUCCUAACUUUAGGAAUCCUAAAAAAAGAUACAACCAGUACACGUAGUAUCCUAAGUUAUGACA